Molecule: ribosomal RNA, 258 nt
Filed under: uncultured Glomus
Lineage: Eukaryota; Fungi; Glomeromycota; Glomeromycetes; Glomerales; Glomeraceae
Description: partial 18S ribosomal RNA
Rfam family: Eukaryotic small subunit ribosomal RNA
Source: RNAcentral
AAGCUCGUAGUUGAAUUUCGGGGUUAGUAGGUUGGUCAUGCCUCUGGUAUGUACUGGUCUCACUGAUUCCUCCUUCCUUAUGAACCGUAAUGCCAUUAAUUUGGUGUUGCGGGGAAUUUGGACUGUUACUUUGGAAAAAUUAGAGUGUUUAAAGCAAGCUAACGCUUGAAUACAUUAGCAUGGAAUAAUGAGAUAGGACGUUCGAUCUUAUUUUGUUGGUUUCUAGGAUUGACGUAAUGAUUAAUAGGGAUAGUUGGG